GGGCCAGACUCCUACGGGAGGCAGCAGUGAGGAAUAUUGGUCAAUGGGAGAGAUCCUGAACCAGCCAAGCCGCGUGAGGGAUGACGGCCCUACGGGUUGUAAACCUCUUUUGCCGGGGAGCAAAGAGCGGGACGCGUCCCGCCUCGAGAGUACCCGGAGAAAAAGCAUCGGCUAACUCCGUGCCAGCAGCCGCGGUAAUACGGAGGAUGCGAGCGUUAUCCGGAUUUAUUGGGUUUAAAGGGUGCGCAGGCGGAAUGUCAAGUCAGCGGUAAAAUUUCGGGGCUCAACCCCGUCGUGCCGUUGAAACUGGCGUUCUUGAGUGAGCGAGAAGUAUGCGGAAUGCGUGGUGUAGCGGUGAAAUGCAUAGAUAUCACGCAGAACUCCGAUUGCGAAGGCAGCAUACCGGCGCUCAGCUGACGCUCAUGCACGAAAGCGUGGGUAUCGAACAGGAUUAGAUACCCUUGUA
This 466-nucleotide ribosomal RNA is filed under the name uncultured bacterium. RNAcentral's name for it is "bacterial SSU rRNA". It matches the Rfam family "Bacterial small subunit ribosomal RNA", at positions 328 to 792 of the family's 1533-position model. The record is from RNAcentral.